GACAGAGGGUGCAAACGUUGUUCGGAAUUACUGGGCGUAAAGCGCACGUAGGCGGCUUUGCAAGUUAGAGGUGAAAGCCCGGGGCUCAACCCCCGGAAUUGCCUUUAAAACUGCAUCGCUAGAAUUGUGGAGAGGUAAGUGGAAUUCCGAGUGUAGAGGUGAAAUUCGGAGAUAUUCGGAAGAACACCAGUGGCGAAGGCGACUUACUGGACACAUAUUGACGCUGAGGUGCGAAAGCGUGGGGAGCAAACAGG
Molecule: ribosomal RNA, 254 nt
Filed under: uncultured bacterium
Lineage: Bacteria
Description: partial 16S ribosomal RNA
Rfam family: Bacterial small subunit ribosomal RNA
Source: RNAcentral